RNAcentral lists this transfer RNA (71 nucleotides) under Nycticryphes semicollaris. RNAcentral describes it as "tRNA-Tyr". It matches the Rfam family "tRNA". Rfam says of the family: Transfer RNA (tRNA) molecules are approximately 80 nucleotides in length. Their secondary structure includes four short double-helical elements and three loops (D, anti-codon, and T loops). Lineage: Eukaryota; Metazoa; Chordata; Aves; Charadriiformes; Rostratulidae. The record is from RNAcentral.
GGUAAGAUGGCCGAGUGUUGUAGGCGUUAGGCUGUAGACCUUUUCAGAGAGGUUCAAUUCCUCUUCUUAUC